Molecule: ribosomal RNA, 533 nt
Filed under: uncultured bacterium
Lineage: Bacteria
Description: bacterial SSU rRNA
Rfam family: Bacterial small subunit ribosomal RNA
Source: RNAcentral
CGUGAGCGAUGAAGGCCCUCGGGUUGUAAAGCUCGUGUGGGGAGAGACGAAUAAGGUGAGGUUAACACCUUCACUGAUGACGGUAUCUCUUUAGCAAGCACCGGCUAACUCUGUGCCAGCAGCCGCGGUAAGACAGAGGGUGCAAACGUUGUUCGGAAUUACUGGGCGUAAAGCGCGUGUAGGUGGUCUCGCAAGUCGGAUGUGAAAUCCCAGGGCUCAACCCUGGAAGAGCACCCGAAACUGCAAGACUGGAGUCCUGGAGAGGAAGGUGGAAUGCUUGGUGUAGAGGUGAAAUUCGUAGAUAUCAAGCGGAACACCAGUGGCGAAGGCGGCCUUCUGGACAGUGACUGACACUGAGACGCGAAAGCGUGGGGAGCAAACAGGGAUUAGAUACCCUGGUAGUCCACGCCGUAAACGAUGAGUGCUAGGUGUCACGGGAUUUGACCCUCGUGGUGCCGAAGCUAACGCGUUAAGCACUCCGCCUGGGAAAGUACGGCCGCAAAGGCUAAAACUCAAAAGGAAUUUGACGGGGG